UCAUGUUGGUUGUCUUGCCCGGGGCGGG
This 28-nucleotide small RNA is filed under the name Bombyx mori (domestic silkworm). Its description in RNAcentral is "ovarian small RNA-26284". Lineage: Eukaryota; Metazoa; Arthropoda; Insecta; Lepidoptera; Bombycidae. The record is from RNAcentral.